This 1542-nucleotide ribosomal RNA is filed under the name Escherichia coli. RNAcentral describes it as "bacterial SSU rRNA". It matches the Rfam family "Bacterial small subunit ribosomal RNA". Lineage: Bacteria; Pseudomonadati; Pseudomonadota; Gammaproteobacteria; Enterobacterales; Enterobacteriaceae. The record is from RNAcentral.
AAAUUGAAGAGUUUGAUCAUGGCUCAGAUUGAACGCUGGCGGCAGGCCUAACACAUGCAAGUCGAACGGUAACAGGAAGAAGCUUGCUUCUUUGCUGACGAGUGGCGGACGGGUGAGUAAUGUCUGGGAAACUGCCUGAUGGAGGGGGAUAACUACUGGAAACGGUAGCUAAUACCGCAUAAUGUCGCAAGACCAAAGAGGGGGACCUUCGGGCCUCUUGCCAUCGGAUGUGCCCAGAUGGGAUUAGCUUGUUGGUGGGGUAACGGCUCACCAAGGCGACGAUCCCUAGCUGGUCUGAGAGGAUGACCAGCCACACUGGAACUGAGACACGGUCCAGACUCCUACGGGAGGCAGCAGUGGGGAAUAUUGCACAAUGGGCGCAAGCCUGAUGCAGCCAUGCCGCGUGUAUGAAGAAGGCCUUCGGGUUGUAAAGUACUUUCAGCGGGGAGGAAGGGAGUAAAGUUAAUACCUUUGCUCAUUGACGUUACCCGCAGAAGAAGCACCGGCUAACUCCGUGCCAGCAGCCGCGGUAAUACGGAGGGUGCAAGCGUUAAUCGGAAUUACUGGGCGUAAAGCGCACGCAGGCGGUUUGUUAAGUCAGAUGUGAAAUCCCCGGGCUCAACCUGGGAACUGCAUCUGAUACUGGCAAGCUUGAGUCUCGUAGAGGGGGGUAGAAUUCCAGGUGUAGCGGUGAAAUGCGUAGAGAUCUGGAGGAAUACCGGUGGCGAAGGCGGCCCCCUGGACGAAGACUGACGCUCAGGUGCGAAAGCGUGGGGAGCAAACAGGAUUAGAUACCCUGGUAGUCCACGCCGUAAACGAUGUCGACUUGGAGGUUGUGCCCUUGAGGCGUGGCUUCCGGAGCUAACGCGUUAAGUCGACCGCCUGGGGAGUACGGCCGCAAGGUUAAAACUCAAAUGAAUUGACGGGGGCCCGCACAAGCGGUGGAGCAUGUGGUUUAAUUCGAUGCAACGCGAAGAACCUUACCUGGUCUUGACAUCCACGGAAGUUUUCAGAGAUGAGAAUGUGCCUUCGGGAACCGUGAGACAGGUGCUGCAUGGCUGUCGUCAGCUCGUGUUGUGAAAUGUUGGGUUAAGUCCCGCAACGAGCGCAACCCUUAUCCUUUGUUGCCAGCGGUCCGGCCGGGAACUCAAAGGAGACUGCCAGUGAUAAACUGGAGGAAGGUGGGGAUGACGUCAAGUCAUCAUGGCCCUUACGACCAGGGCUACACACGUGCUACAAUGGCGCAUACAAAGAGAAGCGACCUCGCGAGAGCAAGCGGACCUCAUAAAGUGCGUCGUAGUCCGGAUUGGAGUCUGCAACUCGACUCCAUGAAGUCGGAAUCGCUAGUAAUCGUGGAUCAGAAUGCCACGGUGAAUACGUUCCCGGGCCUUGUACACACCGCCCGUCACACCAUGGGAGUGGGUUGCAAAAGAAGUAGGUAGCUUAACCUUCGGGAGGGCGCUUACCACUUUGUGAUUCAUGACUGGGGUGAAGUCGUAACAAGGUAACCGUAGGGGAACCUGCGGUUGGAUCACCUCCUUA